Molecule: long non-coding RNA, 659 nt
Organism: Tympanuchus pallidicinctus (lesser prairie-chicken)
Lineage: Eukaryota; Metazoa; Chordata; Aves; Galliformes; Phasianidae
Exons: 3
Source: RefSeq, a predicted model, not a curated record
UUCCAAGCUAAAGAGAGAGAAAAAAGGGAGAGGAGAAAAAACCAGAGAUUGUAGCUCCACACCCAGCGCGUGAAUUCAAAAAGAUCUUGUUUCCUCUGGAGACUGCAAGCAGUUACAUAUCAUUGCAGGAAGUGUGAAGAAAAUCUGCUGCAAGACAUUUACUUCAUUUCAGCAUUCUGAAUGCGAGCCUCACUUUUUCAUCAGUGUACUAUGUCAUGGGAUCCUAUCACGUUAAAUAAACACAUUAAAGAUUGUAUUGGCUGUGUAACAAGCCUGUUUGACAUUGAAAGAUUUUAACAUGCCUUCUUUACCUAGAAAAAAAAUGAAUACAGGCACAUUUUAUGGGCCAAAUGACAAACUAUAAUGAUUAAUAGACCUAUUUAAAUGAAUAAUUGUCCUGUGUACUGUACAAGUUUAUGUUGUACAAUGGCUAUGUAUGCAGCAGCUGACAAACUUCUUCUAUGGAGAUGUAAAAGACAAGAAUUGGUAAAAAUAACACAGCUGAGCCAGGCCAAGCUAAGAGUAAGCCUGAUGGAUAUUUCAAAUGACCUCAGUGAAGUGGAGAGUAUUUAUUGACAUCUGAAGGCUUCCAACACCCUCCCCCAACUUUAUUUCAAAGUCUUUCUUGAUUUACUAUAGAAAGUCGUGUUUUAAAGACC